AUAUCUAUCCACUUUAAACUUUUACCUUUGGGUGUUGAGGUUUGAAGCUGGGAAAUUGGGGGGUUUUAUUGCUAGUCUUUUCGACUUGCUCCCCUUAAAUAUAUUAGUGAAGAUGAACUCUGCAGCUAGGGAAACAAGCUUGAAGGGGUUGAUGUGAUAGACAACUUCAAUGUGUUCUAUCGACCUCUUAGUGUACUCCUGUUUGACCUGCAAUAAAGCUUCUUCUCUUUGCUUUCUAACAGUGGUCAUAACAGCACCACAAAGUUUCCUUGA
This 273-nucleotide unclassified non-coding RNA is filed under the name uncultured Basidiomycota. Its description in RNAcentral is "sequence contains ITS2". The record is from RNAcentral. Lineage: Eukaryota; Fungi; Basidiomycota.